ACACACAGUUUAACAACAAAACAAAACGCUGAGUGAACAUUACUACCUACGUUUUUCAUGUUGGUUUUGAGCGGUAUGCACCCCUCGUGGGGAAGAAAAAGCAAUUCAACUGAAGCACUUACCAUGAGAUCACAGGCUCACUUAGUUUCAGAUGGUUAUAAUGGCAUCACAAGUUCAAACAGUGAAUGCUUGUUUGCUUGUCUGUAUGGAAGAAGGUUCACUCAGUUUGAAGUGGUUAUAAUGGCAUCAGUGAAUGCUUGUUUCUUUGAACUGCUUUAAUUUAUCAUUUUAUUUCUUCUAUUAAUUUUAUUCUAAAGGUGAAAUAAAUGCAAGAUGGGUUAGGGUUGCAAGAUGUUUCCAAAGUCAGUGAGUCUCAAUCUGUUCUGUUGACUUUCCCUAUCUGCA
Molecule: long non-coding RNA, 405 nt
Organism: Sander lucioperca (pikeperch)
Lineage: Eukaryota; Metazoa; Chordata; Actinopteri; Perciformes; Percidae
Exons: 3
Source: RefSeq, a predicted model, not a curated record